AUCAGUAUGUGUGUUAGUGGAAGCGUCUGGAAAGGCGCGCGAUACAGGGUGACAGCCCCGUACACAAAAAUGCACAUGCUGUGAGCUCGAUGAGUAGGGCGGGACACGUGGUAUCCUGUCUGAAUAUGGGGGGACCAUCCUCCAAGGCUAAAUACUCCUGACUGACCGAUAGUGAACCAGUACCGUGAGGGAAAGGCGAAAAGAACCCCGGCGAGGGGAGUGAAAAAGAACCUGAAACCGUGUACGUACAAGCAGUGGGAGCACGCUUAGGCGUGUGACUGCGUACCUUUUGUAUAAUGGGUCAGCGACUUAUAUUCUGUAGCAAGGUUAACCGAAUAGGGGAGCCGAAGGGAAACCGAGUCUUAACUGGGCGUUAAGUUGCAGGGUAUAGACCCGAAACCCGGUGAUCUAGCCAUGGGCAGGUUGAAGGUUGGGUAACACUAACUGGAGGACCGAACCGACUAAUGUUGAAAAAUUAGCGGAUGACUUGUGGCUGGGGGUGAAAGGCCAAUCAAACCGGGAGAUAGCUGGUUCUCCCCGAAAGCUAUUUAGGUAGCGCCUCGUGAAUUCAUCUCCGGGGGUAGAGCACUGUUUCGGCAAGGGGGUCAUCCCGACUUACCAACCCGAUGCAAACUGCGAAUACCGGAGAAUGUUAUCACGGGAGACACACGGCGGGUGCUAACGUCCGUCGUGAAGAGGGAAACAACCCAGACCGCCAGCUAAGGUCCCAAAGUCAUGGUUAAGUGGGAAACGAUGUGGGAAGGCCCAGACAGCCAGGAUGUUGGCUUAGAAGCAGCCAUCAUUUAAAGAAAGCGUAAUAGCUCACUGGUCGAGUCGGCCUGCGCGGAAGAUGUAACGGGGCUAAACCAUGCACCGAAGCUGCGGCAGCGACGCUGAUGCGUUGUUGGGUAGGGGAGCGUUCUGUAAGCCUGCGAAGGUGUGCUGUGAGGCAUGCUGGAGGUAUCAGAAGUGCGAAUGCUGACAUAAGUAACGAUAAAGCGGGUGAAAAGCCCGCUCGCCGGAAGACCAAGGGUUCCUGUCCAACGUUAAUCGGGGCAGGGUGAGUCGACCCCUAAGGCGAGGCCGAAAGGCGUAGUCGAUGGGAAACAGGUUAAUAUUCCUGUACUUGGUGUUACUGCGAAGGGGGGACGGAGAAGGCUAUGUUGGCCGGGCGACGGUUGUCCCGGUUUAAGCGUGUAGGCUGGUUUUCCAGGCAAAUCCGGAAAAUCAAGGCUGAGGCGUGAUGACGAGGCACUACGGUGCUGAAGCAACAAAUGCCCUGCUUCCAGGAAAAGCCUCUAAGCAUCAGGUAACAUCAAAUCGUACCCCAAACCGACACAGGUGGUCAGGUAGAGAAUACCAAGGCGCUUGAGAGAACUCGGGUGAAGGAACUAGGCAAAAUGGUGCCGUAACUUCGGGAGAAGGCACGCUGAUAUGUAGGUGAAGUCCCUCGCGGAUGGAGCUGAAAUCAGUCGAAGAUACCAGCUGGCUGCAACUGUUUAUUAAAAACACAGCACUGUGCAAACACGAAAGUGGACGUAUACGGUGUGACGCCUGCCCGGUGCCGGAAGGUUAAUUGAUGGGGUUAGCGCAAGCGAAGCUCUUGAUCGAAGCCCCGGUAAACGGCGGCCGUAACUAUAACGGUCCUAAGGUAGCGAAAUUCCUUGUCGGGUAAGUUCCGACCUGCACGAAUGGCGUAAUGAUGGCCAGGCUGUCUCCACCCGAGACUCAGUGAAAUUGAACUCGCUGUGAAGAUGCAGUGUACCCGCGGCAAGACGGAAAGACCCCGUGAACCUUUACUAUAGCUUGACACUGAACAUUGAGCCUUGAUGUGUAGGAUAGGUGGGAGGCUUUGAAGUGUGGACGCCAGUCUGCAUGGAGCCGACCUUGAAAUACCACCCUUUAAUGUUUGAUGUUCUAACGUUGACCCGUAAUCCGGGUUGCGGACAGUGUCUGGUGGGUAGUUUGACUGGGGCGGUCUCCUCCUAAAGAGUAACGGAGGAGCACGAAGGUUGGCUAAUCCUGGUCGGACAUCAGGAGGUUAGUGCAAUGGCAUAAGCCAGCUUGACUGCGAGCGUGACGGCGCGAGCAGGUGCGAAAGCAGGUCAUAGUGAUCCGGUGGUUCUGAAUGGAAGGGCCAUCGCUCAACGGAUAAAAGGUACUCCGGGGAUAACAGGCUGAUACCGCCCAAGAGUUCAUAUCGACGGCGGUGUUUGGCACCUCGAUGUCGGCUCAUCACAUCCUGGGGCUGAAGUAGGUCCCAAGGGUAUGGCUGUUCGCCAUUUAAAGUGGUACGCGAGCUGGGUUUAGAACGUCGUGAGACAGUUCGGUCCCUAUCUGCCGUGGGCGCUGGAGAACUGAGGGGGGCUGCUCCUAGUACGAGAGGACCGGAGUGGACGCAUCACUGGUGUUCGGGUUGUCAUGCCAAUGGCACUGCCCGGUAGCUAAAUGCGGAAGAGAUAAGUGCUGAAAGCAUCUAAGCACGAAACUUGCCCCGAGAUGAGUUCUCCCUGACUCCUUGAGAGUCCUGAAGGAACGUUGAAGACGACGACGUUGAUAGGCCGGGUGUGUAAGCGCAGCGAUGCGUUGAGCUAACCGGUACUAAUGAACCGUGAGGCUUAACCUUACAACGCCGAAG
This 2638-nucleotide ribosomal RNA is filed under the name Escherichia coli. RNAcentral describes it as "partial 23S ribosomal RNA". It matches the Rfam family "Bacterial large subunit ribosomal RNA", at positions 316 to 2925 of the family's 2925-position model. Lineage: Bacteria; Pseudomonadati; Pseudomonadota; Gammaproteobacteria; Enterobacterales; Enterobacteriaceae. The record is from RNAcentral.